Daphnia magna is the source of this 916-nucleotide long non-coding RNA. RefSeq lists it as uncharacterized. Lineage: Eukaryota; Metazoa; Arthropoda; Branchiopoda; Diplostraca; Daphniidae. The transcript has 5 exons. The record is from RefSeq and is a predicted model, not a curated record.
UAUGGGGGUACUGAAGAGUCCCUCUGGUGGCCAUAUUUUGUCUUAAUUGAACGAACCACCCCCUCUAUGACUCUGCUAUUAUAAUCGACCGCUGUAGUGUUGGUGUGGAAGGGAGUUAUAAGGUUUUUUUUUUUUUUUUUCGUGUUAGCCUCAGGUUGUUGUGAAGGUAUCGAACAAGUAACCUUUGGAUCUCAUGCUGUUUGGUCACUUACCUUGUAGCUGCCAAACCGAGUCUCAUUGUUAUUAGAAAUGGAAGAUUCUCGUAGAACAAUACUGGAACUGAUAAGUCAUGGGUUCCGUGUGGAAGAAAUUGCAGCUAUGUACAAUACUCCAGUUAGAACUUUCUACCGUCGAAUGAAAGACAUGGAUAUUUCCGUUAGAGGAAAGUAUAGCAACAUCACAUUGGACUCCCUUGAGCAGAAAAUUACAGACAUCUCUGCUGAGAAUAAUCGUGUUGGGGAGAAAAUCAUUAGGGCUAGACUACAAGGACAAGGUGACACUGUUCAACGCUCAAGAAACAGACAGGCAAUUCAAAACACUGUUGGCCCUCGUCCAAGGCCACCAAGAUUGACCAGGAGAGAAUAUAGCUCUCGUGCUGCAUUAUCUGUCUGGCAUGGUGAUGGGCUACAUACAUUCAUUGACUAUGGUAUCAUUAUCUUUGGGUGGGUGGAUGGACAUUCCCACGCAGUAAUGAAUAUGGAAGCAAAAAAUUACAAUAGAGCAAGCACAGCGCUCUAGGUGUUCUUGACUGCAGUCAGUUACUAUGGCUGUCCUUCUAGAGUCAGAACCGACCACGGAGGAGAGAAUAUAGAAGUGGGGCGAUUCAUGAUCGAAGUUAGAGGACCAAAUAGAGGGAGUUUUUUGACGGGGAAAUCUUGAUUUUGCUGAUCAAUGAGAUUGUUUCUUUGUUGCAAAU